Molecule: long non-coding RNA, 16752 nt
Filed under: Lactuca sativa (garden lettuce)
Lineage: Eukaryota; Viridiplantae; Streptophyta; Magnoliopsida; Asterales; Asteraceae
Description: long non-coding RNA (LSAT_LNC004197)
Source: RNAcentral
UCUAAGUCCAUAACUAUAAUUGGUAAGACUUGACCCGACCCGGCAUGGUCCAUUUGGGUUGCAAACCUUCAUGCACUUAAAUAGACUAUAAUGAGAGAAAUAAGACACUUAUGGUUAUUAAUAUAUUAUAAGUUCUAGUAUAUUAAUAAUAAGAAUAAUAAGAUUGUUUAAUUGGUAUUGAUCAAGAAUUAAUCUAGGAUUAAUUAAGUGAUCAAAAGAAGACUAAUUAAAUAUAUGGGUUGAUUGUGUAAAUCAUCCAUACUUAUAUAGUGGGCUAAUGCUCCAUGGAUAAUCAAGUUGGGCUAAAACCCAUAGGAUGGUCCAUGGGUGCUCCAUGGUGUAUUUGAACCCAUGGAUCCAAGGAAAUGGAAAGUCAUGACAAUUAAGGAUUUACCCUAAUUGUAACACUAUAUAAUGAUCUUAUUCUUGACAAAAAUCGGCGACUAGGAUUAUUCUAGAGAGGGCUAGCCGAUUUCAUGAAGUGUAGAACUCUCUCAAGUUAUUCUAAGUGUUUUGAUAACUGUGAUUCCAUUUGAGGCUUCCACACUAUUGGGGCUAGGCACUCAAGCUUCAUGAAGACUUUCUACAUCAAAGAGGUAUGUAUUCUAUCUUGUUAUAUUCAUGUUUUGUAUGAUAGAUUAGGAUGAUACCUUGGAUAUUCUUAUUUGCAUGUAUAAUAGAGAAAACAUAGAUCCAAGGUAUUUAGGGUUGCAUGUACACUUAGGAGUGUUAGAAUGCUCAAAACCCAACAGUGGUAUCAGAGCCUAGGCUUGUUUUCUUGUUAUACUUGCAAAUGGAGCUGAAAAAUCGAGUUGUGAUGCUGUCAGCCCAGCAGACUCGCCGAGUCCAUGAAGGGACUCGACGAGUCCAAGGCAAAAUUCAUCCAACUCGCCGAGUUAUGUUCAUGCACUCGACGAGUUGGACCCCAGACAGCAUAUUUUCGAGGUUUUUGGCUAGAAAUGGACUAGGAACAUUACCCUACGUUGUUUUUGAACUUAUAAACUUGUUUUUUAAUGUGGUAAUGUUCAUGCUAAUCCAUUUUCAAAGAUAAUUGUCAAUAGAUUCAUGUUUUGUAUUAGUUUAAGGUUUAGACUAAUUACAUGAAGAAGUUUGAUAUGAAUUAUCUUGUUCUUAUGAGUUGCUUAGAUUAAUAGAAAAGUUAAUUGAAAUAGUUGUUUUCAAUCCAUUUUAAUCUAAGAGUUGAGUACAAAAUGUGUUUGUGUAACUUGUCCUCAAGUUACAUGAAGAGUCACAUUAAAGACUCAUAAAACUCAUAAAAGUUGGUAAUGGUUACAAAAUGAAGAGUCUUGUGUCAUUGAAUUUUUUUUUUUUUGACUCCAUAACUUGUCCUCAAGUUAUGGAAAUUCAAGAGUCACUUCAUUAAUAAAUAAAUAAAUAAAUAAAGUGUAACCUUAAUUAAUUCCAUAAGUUAUAAAAAUAAAGAAAAGAUUAAUUCUUUUAUUAGUUUAAAGUCUUCCAUAAGUUAUGGAACUUGAAGAGUUUUUUGGAUUAAAACUACUUUAAACACAUAAGUUAUGGAAUUAAUUAGUUUUGAAUAGUUUCAAAACUUGCCCUCAAGUUUUGGAAUUUGAAAAGUUUUCACUUAUGAAUACUUUAAUUCCAAGUUAGCCCUUAGAAUUUUAAAAAAUAAAAUUCAACCCUUAUACUUUAUAAUAUUAUAAGUUAAUAAUAUAUAUAUGUAUAAGAGUAAAGUCAGUCUUACCGCUAGUACGCCUCAUUCACGAAGCCGGUCUAUAAGGUGGGUAUAAGGUUGUUGCCUAUAAAAUGGCAACUUAAUGGGUGUCCACUCUCACCCACCGCUUGCUUGACUGGUGGAGGGUCGUUAGCCGAACGGGUUUGACAGGACUAGAAUUCUCCCUUCAUUAAAAGUAUUAAUGAUAAUACUAAGUAACUAAACUCUUAAUAAUACCCAAUCUUAGUUACUUAGGAAAAAUGUGAAUAAGGUGCUAAUCCAUGAAAUUACACUUUACACUUUGUCUAAGUCGUUAGUGGAGCGUGUGUGGUUAACCGGCACACUAACUUGGACUUAACAAGGUAGGUAAAGGGUGACUUAAUAUUUAUCAUAGUAUCGAUGGAGCGUGUGUGGUUAACCGGCACAUCGAUUGAGGGGUAAUUUAUUAAGGGUACCAAGUGAUUUGCAUGGUUACUUCACACCUUGUUUUGUGAUCCUCGGCAUCCCAGUCACAAAACCUGAAGGGCACACUCGAGAUUGAAACAUGCCUUUGAAAAGUUCAAUGAAUCUCAAAGAUCUAGGAGUUUCAAAACCAAUUAAAACCUAAUAAUACAUUUCGUUUAUCUUGGUGGAAAUUGGUGAAUCGUCAUUCACCUACCUUCAAAUAUUUUAUAGCUUGGAUUACGGCAUACCUCUUCUAAGUUAUAAAAUAGUUUGUUGGGUCCUAGCCUUAAUAUUUCAUAUUGGGUGUCAUAUUAAGGACUUUAAAUCAACUAUCUUGAAUAUCUCCCAAAAGAUGUCUGGUUUAGACACCUAUGAUCUUCCCAAAUCUCUUGAAACAAGGUUUCCUAAUGAAGAUGAUGUCCCAUGGAUAUCAUACUUCUUUCUCCUCCUCCAAUUAUUCUCCCUAACCCACAAGUUCUUGAAAAGUUUAAGGUCACUCAAGCCCUAUUGGCAAGGCAAGGUCUAGGUGUGAUCACAUCUUGGAGAUGUAGUCACAUAUUGACAAGCCGGGAGAGUUGGGUGUCAAAGUCUUGAGAAAGUUGGUGGUUCAAUCACUUUCUAAGUCACAUAGUGAGUUCCUUUGGGACACCUAUGAAACAGACUAUGACAAGACCCUUAAUGAUCUUAUCUAUUUGCUAAGAUCAACUUCCUAAAACUUUAUGGACAUUGACAAUGAUGACAUUGGAUAUCCAGUAAAGCAUUCUCUUCCCAAUGGAAAGGGAUCGGCCAUAGUCAACUCGGUUGACCAAAUGGUAAAGAGAAAAGCUAAGUCUGUGAUAGUCCCGUGUACCAUUAUCAAAGGGUCCAUAUGUUUAUAUUGCCAAAGGAAGGGGCAUUGGUUGCGAAGCUGCCAAAUUUACCUAAGGAUGUUAAAGUCAAUAAGUUUGACUCUACUUCAGGUAAAGUCCACUAUCUAACUCUGUUAAGUUUCUAUUCUGAGAUUCUUGAUACAUGAUGUGACUGGGUCACAUGGUGAUGUUUUAAGAAUCAAAGAAAAGUGAAGAAACUUAAAGAAAGAAUAUGCUGAAUCUGAUGGCGUAGAUGGAUUUCUAUCGCAUAGUUUGAAGAUCGGAUUCUUGAGCUACUUCUUAGGAGUUAUGAGAUAUUGCUUAGGAAUAGAUAACAACAAGUUUUCAUAUGGAUUGUAAGGAUAAGUUUUUCCGCAAAGUUUUAAAAUAAAAGAAAAUUUUUUUGAUUUUAUUUAUUUUAAAAUAUCCUUACAAUGGCUUUUGAGGAAAAAUUGUUGCUUAUAUGAUUCCAUUAAGAGCAAGAGUGGAAAUAUGAAAUUGAUUCUUUCAUUUGUGGUAAUGUCUAGAUUUACCAAAUAAGGAAAGAUUCUCAUCACCCAAGUUUCAAUUGGACCGGAACUUGGAAUCAUGCAAGUUGUAUAGCAUGAUGAAUGAGAACUUUCAAGUUUUGGAAAAUUAAGACUAAUUACUUGUUCACAUGGAUGUGUGAGUCAAGUAAAGGACUUAGGGAUCGAGUACACAUUCUUGUGCACUGAUUAAGUCCACCACUAAAGAUCGAUAAGAAGAAUCAAAUAAGGCAGAAGGAUAAAAGUUUCUCAAAUCUGAAAAGAUGGGAGAGUACUUUAGUAUCAGUUUUGUGAUCAUCUUAAUGAUUAAGAAACCAUAUCAAAAUUAGUUCUCUAAGGAAAUCUUAGUGCAUUCUUAUGACUAAGAAGAGGAACUUGAAUUGUUGAAAUGGUUAAAUCAAGAAGAUGAGUCAUACUUCGUUCCAAUACAAGUCUUAGAGUCAUACUCCAAGAUUGUCAUUUGAGUGACAUGUCUUAAAGAAGGUUUAAAACACUUGUCAAAUGUAAGAGUAAAAGUUUUCUACUCUUGUACAUUUGAAAUUGGUAAGUUGUGAUGUUUUGGAUAAAACAAAGACCAACUUAGGCCAAUUGGGUAAAGUGUUUUUCUUGAUUAGAAUCCGCACUAUCUCUUGGAUGUUUGACAAGGGAGUCUUAUAUGUCAAGAGGACAGUGGGAGUCUUAAAGGUCUUGAAAGUCUCAAGAAAUAAUCAAGAAUAAAACCUAAAGUUCUUCACUAGCACACGACUUGAGGUUUAUAACCUAUCGUGUUGACAUAUCUGUGCCCAUUCCAGUUAAAGUUGGCUUUGCAUAUGAGUUCUUAGAGUUCUCAGUUUGUUGCAUAACAACUUGGAAGCAAUGGCAGGCCCUUGAGCUGCCAGGUGGCAAGAAGUUAAGAUUGAGUUCAAUCCAUAUGGUUUUGGAUUUGUCAUUAUCUUUGUCUUGUGAUUAUGGUUUGACAAAUUCAUAUGGGUAGGAACUCAUACACCAUAUAAAUCUAAGUGUCAUAAGGUUUCUCUCCGAUUCAUGAAAAUGAUGGUGAGGAAACGCUUUCACUAAGUAGAUUUUACGAAGAUAUCAAUUGUGUUAUUUGCAUUUUCAAAAGUCGUUAGUGGAGCGCGUGUGGUUAACCGGCACACUAACAUGGACUUGUGAGAAAUGGCAAAUGCCUAAGCAAUUGAGACCAUGAUUACGGUAUCCCUUUUCAUGGUUCUUGAAAUUGCUUAGACACACAGGUGAGCUAUCUACGGAAAGGGUGUAUGAAUCUAAAUUUCAGACUGUCCAGCUGAUUUCUGAGUACAUGUCAAAGCUAGUGGGAGCAUAAGUGUUAUGCUAAUAAUCAUCAUGUUAGUGGGAGCAUGAUAAUUAUGAUAAGUAUUGCAAGUUAGCAAUGUUAAUUAUAGAAAACAAAAGUUUCAAUUGGGAAAAAGUUGUUUUGCUAUAAUUAAGGGAGAGGAAAUUAUGCUUCAUCUCAAAUCUAUAAGCUUAGAUCGUGAGGUUUUAAUCAUUUAGUCAAGGAUAUAUAUGAAUUUCAUGUUGGAAUGGCUCAACAUAAGGAAAUUCUGUAUAUGGGUCCAUUAUUUGCGUUCUAAAAUUCGAUUAUGAUUACGGCAUCCCUUUUCAUAAUCUGAAUUAUGAGAACUUGGCAAAUUGAAAUGGAAAUAUUAUAGCAAAAGACUGGUUUAGUCUUUAUGUAAGACAUCAUGAAUCGUGUCCCAUAUGCUUCGGAUAUAGGAUCGAUUACAUGUGCUAUAUUCAUCCGUUCUAAAAUUUUCCAAAUGCCUGGGGCAUUAAGAAGGGAAAAGGUUUAGAACUGGAUAUGACUAAAAGGAUUAAACAAUUGUCGAGGACAAUCUAAGGUUUACCAAAGAUUGGUUACUCAAGGACAAUUGGAAGUAUAGUGAUAAUUCUGGAAGGACCAUAUUGACAUAAUCUGUAAGGAGGCAACUCUUGUUCAGAAGUGAUAGUCAAAAUGGAAUCUGGAAAUGUUUCAAAGUUAGAAUUUUCAAUCUGUGUAAGAUUAAGGAAACUUAAUGCAAGAAGGAUAUUUCCAAGGAGUUGAUCUCCUUUGGAAUACUCUGUAAUGAUUGUUGCCAAGUCUUUGUGACUUUGUGCAUAAUCAUUACAAGAGGAUCAAUGCAUAUAAGUUUAGAAUCUAACAGAUUUCAGUAAAUGGCAUGAAUUUGGAAUUCUUGCAUUUGCAGUAAGGAUUUGGGAGUGUGAAAAGAGAAUCAUUGAAGUUAUGUUCAAUUGAUCUAGUUCACAAAGUAAAGAUCAUAGACAAACAUAGUAUGCAUACUUGGUGUGUGGCAUGACUAGUGUUUAAGAAAACAUAGUGUACAUGCUUGGAGCAUGGGACAACUAUUGUUUUAAAUUCAAGAAUAAAGUUGAUAGCUGAAACAGUAUACAAUGAAUAAUGUGUAAUCAUAUGGUGAUAAAUAAAAGGUGUUUUAUUUAUGUUCAAAGGGUUGAUACCAUAUUGGAUUCAAUUAUUAUUGUGUUUCAUUUUGCAUGUUUUGACUUCCCGAAUAAACUGGGUUAUUCUUCCGGAAUGACUAAGUUAUUCAAACCAUCCACAGUCGGUCAUAUGUUGGAAGUAGAUAUGAAUUAAGACUGUCAUGGGUUGGCUUGUAGAGGUCUAAGGUGUUGGACAAAGGGCUACAACACUCAUGAGUGCUCAUAAGUUCUGAGUAUUGGAUUCAACCCGCGCUCAUUGGAAUCACUUCAUGGAUUUUAUCACGAGUGAUCAUGAGACGAUAAUAUCUUAUAUUCUUCAAACCUAGAGAUAUGAGUUGUUACUAUGAGUUGAUAGUACAUUGAUUGCACGAAAACGCAUUUGGUAACUCGGUGCUAUAAAACGUGCCUUUGUGUAUGAUUCAACAAGUAGUAGAACAAGCCAUAUGAGUCGAAGUUUAUCCAUUCCUUUUACCUUCGGGAUAAAAGCGAUAUCUGUGGGCCCCUCGAUGAUUUGAUGAUGACAAAUGGAAGUGCUCGGCCGGGCCAGGACUGAUUUGAUUUGUUCAAUUAGUCAGUCGUCAUAAAUCGGAAAUCGGGAAACAACAAAUGGACAGAGAGAAUGAUUAUAAUCCAUGUCUCAGUCCAUAUGAUAUCUAGAAUGGAGGAAUAUAUGAUCCCUUAUCUAAUGGACAAGUCAUUGACAAAGGUCAGAGUUCAUCUACAAGGUCAGAGUUCGACAGAAGCUUUUGAGAGCUACGAUUGCCAGUUGGUUCCUGAAGUCAUACGCAAUAAUAGUUUUAGACUUAUCCAAGUGGGAGACUGUUGGAUUAAUGUCUAAGUCCAUAACUAUAAUUGGUAAGACUUGACCCGACCCGGCAUGGUCCAUUUGGGUUGCAUACCAUCAUGCACUUGGAUAGACUAUAAUGAGAGAAAUAAGACACUUAUGGUUAUUAAUAUAUUAUAAGUUCUAGUAUAUUAAUAAUAAGAAUAAUAAGAUUAUUUAAUUAGUAUUGAUCAAGAAUUAAUCUAGGAUUAAUUAAGUGAUCAAAAGAAGACUAAUUAAAUAUAUGGGUUGAUUGUGUAAAUCAUCCAUACUUAUAUAGUGGGCUAAUGCUCCAUGGAUAAUCAAGUUGGGCUAAAACCCAUAGGAUGGUCCAUGGGUGCUCCAUGGUGUAUUUGAACCCAUGGAUCCAAGGAAAUGGAAAGUCAUGACAAUUAAGGAUUUACCCUAAUUGUAACACUAUAUAAUGAUCUUAUUCUUGACAAAAAUCGGCGACUAGGAUUAUUCUAGAGAGGGCUAGCCGAUUUCAUGAAGUGUAGAACUCUCUCAAGUUAUUCUAAGUGUUUUGAUAACUGUGAUUCCAUUUGAGGCUUCCACACUAUUGGGGCUAGGCACUCAAGCUUCAUGAAGACUUUCUACAUCAAAGAGGUAUGUAUUCUAUCUUGUUAUAUUCAUGUUUUGUAUGAUAGAUUAGGAUGAUACCUUGGAUAUUCUUAUUUGCAUGUAUAAUAGAGAAAACAUAGAUCCAAGGUAUUUAGGGUUGCAUGUACACUUAGGAGUGUUAGAAUGCUCAAAACCCAACACUUUCAAAAUAGGAGAACACGUACUACGAAACAAUGAGGUGAGUAGAGAAGAACCGCAGGGUAAACUAAGACCAAUAUGGGAAGGCCUAUACUUAAUCCAAGAAGUAAAUAGAGGCGGGUCAUACAGUUUACAUACACUGGAGGAAGAGACAAUACAAAGGUCAUGGCAUGUCAAAGCUCAAAAUGAGAUUACAACCAAAACAGGACGAACGACAUCCUAACAAACGUAUACCAUGGUAUUCACGCAAGUCAUACCAUUGCAUAAACAUCAAGAUCAUUAUCAUGCAAACGGGACAAACGACAUCUCGACACACGUAUAGCAUGGUCUCAAUGCAAGUCAUUCCAUUACACGAACAUCAUGAUCAUUAUCAUCCAAACGGCACAAACAACGUCCUGAAAAAUGUAUAGCAUGGUCUCGAUGCAAGUCAUACCAUUGCACGAACAUCAUGAUCAUUAUUAUGCAUACAACACAAAUGACAUCCUAGAAAACAUGUGGCAUGGUGUCGAUGCAGGUCAUAACAUUGCAUGAACAUCGUGAUUGAUAUCAUGUAAAUGGUACAAACGACAUCCCGAAAAAAAUGUUGCAUGGUCUCGAUGCAAUUCAUACCAUUACAUGAAAUUCAUGAUAAUUAUCAUGUAUACGGGACAAACGACAUCCGAACAAACAUAUAGCAUGGUCUUGAUGUACGGUUAUACCAUUGCAUAGAACUCGCCAUCAUUAUUAUAAGAAGGGACGAUCGACAACCCGGUUAAUAUACAACAUGGUCUCAACAUACGCUAUAUCAUGGGAAACACAACCAAGAUAUCCAAUCUUGAGCAUCAUAUGGACAUAUAAGCAGAAUAGAGGAUUGGAACUACCAAAAAGGUCCUAUGUAUCCAAUAACCAGAGUGAGGGGACAAAAUAUGUAAGACAAAUAAUUGAUAGUACAAUACAACACAAAGUAAUAUCAAAAACUUGGUUACACCCACAAGCUUCUUUGGAAGAAGUGCUUGCGAAAAAAAUAAAGAGCAUAACCAACCCAAGCUCUAGGAUUCAUAAAGAUUUGGCUGCAAGUUGAUCAUGAAGAAUAUCAUUCUCCCAAAGGCACGCUUCAUUAUCAGACUCUAAAACCGACCAGACAGUUCGUCAUGCAUAGGGAUGUUAUUCGGGUCGGAACCGAACCGAACCGAACCGACCCGAAUAAAACGAAAACCGAAUAAGGGUAAUUGUAUGAACCAAAAAUUGAACCAAAUAAGCAAUACGGGUUCGGUUCGGUUCGGGUAUUAUUCGGUUCGGUUCAGUUCCGGCCCGAAUAACCUAAAUAACAUGUACAAGAUGAUUAAGGAGUCGAAUAACCCGAAUAUUUUGUAUUACUGUUGAAGCUUAUGAUUUCAUAAGUAUAUAACCCGAAUAACAUGUAAAAAAUGAUUAAGGAGUCGUAUAACCCGAAUAACCUAAAUAUUUUGCAUUACUUUUGUAGCUUAUGAUUUCAUAACAAAUCCUUUAAAGAAACAAAUUAAACACUAAAAGUUAAACAUCCAAAACACCCAAAAAUCUAUCUAUAUUUAUAUAACCCGAAUAACUCAAAUAACAUGUACAAGAUGAUUAAGGAGUCAAACCCGAUUAACCCGAAUAAAUAUUGUAUUUUUUAUGAUUUUUGUAGCUUAUGAUUUCAUAACAAACCUUUUAAAGAAACAAAUUAAACACCCAAAAAUCUAUCUAUAAGUAUAUAAGUUAAACAUUAAACAUUCAACACCCAAAUUAAAAUAUGAAUCUUAAGUUUUUAUCCAAUAUCCAAAAUAACAUUUUUCAAACACGAAUUAACUAUUCGAGAAUAUUAAUUCGUUGUUUUCCCUUUGCAUCUCCAUUCUUUAUUGCCUCUUCUAAAGCUUUCGCGACCUCAUUGUCUUUCAAAAUUUCAUCAAUGUUGUCCACAAUUUGCUUUCUUGAUUUCCUUACCCAAUCUUGAGUGCAAACCAAAGCCUCUACUAUAUUUGCUGACAAAUUUGUUCUAUAUGCAUCCAAUAUCCGCCCGCUUGUACUAAACACCGCCUCUGACACCACGGUAGAGAUUUGCAGUCCCAAAAUAUCUAUCAGCAUAAACAUAGAAAAUGUUAAAAUAUAAUUAUAUAAAAAAGUAUACAAAUAAUAAAAUUAUACCUUUCGCCAUACGGGAUACAAUAGGGUAACGACAUGCAUUUUGUUUCCACCAAAGUAGAAUAUCAAAAUCUUUAUUGUAUUUAACUGACUGCUCGUUUAGGUAUCGUGUCAACUCUGUUUCAAUUGAUGUCGAUGGGUAAUCAGUUUGUACUACUAAAUCACCCAUGAAGUCAUUCUCAUCAUAUCACAACUACAUCUUCAUGACCAUGUGUUUGAUGUUGAGAAGUGUCGAUAUUGUCAAACUUUGAUUUGUAGAAAUAAAAGAAAUUCUCAAAUCUUUGUUGAAGACCCCGUAUUAAGACCUUAGCCUUCAAAAUGACUUCCGAAUUGAGCAUAGGAUCUUUUUGUGGAUUCAACUUAAUCAACUUCUCAAAAGCUUGUUGAGGAAAAUCAAACUUGAACCGUGGAUCUAAUAUGACCGCAAAAUACAAAAAAUCAUUUAAUUUUUCAAGAUCGCCCCAAUACUUAUCGUAUUUAUCAAUCAUGUCCUUCCCGAUCAAACAAAAUCGGGGACUAACCGCCCAUUCCUUAAUGUGUUUGUAUACAUCACAUAUUUCUCCAAAAAACUGAUGUGCCAUCGAUUUUGUUGACAUCGAUACUAUGUCGGUUUUCACCUUGAAUUUCUCAAGAAGUCCAACCAUAGCUCACCACAUGUUGAAAUCUUCUUUUGAGGGGGUCAGAACGUCUCGAACAAGUGUAGGAUUUAUUAUAACAAAGUAAAUGUUAGUAUUUAUUUUUGUAAAAAAAACAGCUUUAAUACCCCUUAUUUAAGAGCCGAUAACUCACUGAAUAUACACCCAAAUAACAUGUUUAAAUAGUGUAAACUGUAGUUCAAAUUGUAAACUACAAGCUGGAAAAAAUUGUGCUAAUCGGACAAAUAACGAAGGCGUUAUGACUCUUCAAACUUGGCUAAAAAUUUGGAAAAUUGCUGAAACAGAAAAACUCAGAUUUAUUAUCCAAUGUUUAGAGGCCUAUAACUCACUGAAUAUACAACCAAAUAACGAGUAUAAAUAGUGUAAAUUAUAGUUCAAAUUGUAAACUACAAGCUGGAAAGAAAAUCGCGCUAAUCGGACAAAUAACGAAGACGUUAUGACUCUUCAAAUUUGGCUAAAAAUUUAGAAAAAUGCUGAAACAGAAAAACUUAGAUUUAAUAUUCAAUGUUUAGAGAUCUAUAACUCACUGAAUAUACAAUCAAAUAACUUGUAUAUAUAUAUAUAUAUAUAUAUAUAUAUANNNNNNNNNNNNNNNNNNNNNNNNNNNNNNNNNNNNNNNNNNNNNNNNNNNNNNNNNNNNNNNNNNNNNNNNNNNNNNNNNNNNNNNNNNNNNNNNNNNNNNNNNNNNNNNNNNNNNNNNNNNNNNNNNNNNNNNNNNNNNNNNNNNNNNNNNNNNNNNNNNNNNNNNNNNNNNNNNNNAUAUAUAUAUGGAAUGGAAUAUGAAAUUACCUUUGACUUCAAACAUGCCAAAAACCUUCUCCAACUUCACCGCAAUCUUCAAUAACUCGUAUGUGGAGUUCCAUCGAGUUGGGCUAUCAUUGCACAAAAACUUUUUGGAUUCCACAUUUAGCUCUUUCAUGCAUUCUUUGAACCUUUGAAUCCGUUGUGUAGAAUUCUUAAUGUAUUUAACGUCCUUUUGCAUGCACUUGAUACUAGAUUGAUGUUGAUCAAACCCAUCCCUAACAAUAAAGUUAAGGAUGUAGGCCAUACACCUUACGUGUAAUUGUUUCCCCCCAUCGUACAAGUUUGGUAGCUUUUUCAUUAGAAUUUCGAUUGCUUUGUCAUUCACACUAGCAUUGUCAACGGUUAUGUUCAUUACGUUAUUGAUACCCCACUCUUGAAGACAAGUCAAUAACGUGCACCCAAUGUCUUCUCCCUUAUGACUAUCUGGAGAUUUAAAGUUGAUAAUUCUUUUGUGCAUGACCCAAUCUUCAUCAAUAAAGUGGGUCGUGACCACCAUAUAGCUCGACCUUUGACAUGAGCUUGCCCAACAAUCGGUCGUCAAAUGCACAUUACUUAGGGGAUUAUUAAAGAACUUAAACAACUUAGCCUUUUCUUCAAGAAAGUAAUCGGUGACUCUAUUUGAAAUUGUGGUUCUACAUGGCAAAAUUACUUUCCCGUUCAAUUCAUUUGUUUACUCAAUAAAAGAUUCGUUCUCUACAAACUUGAACGGUAAUUCUCCAACUACCAAUAAGUUUAACAAAGCUUUUUUUAUUCUUUUCUCAUCAUGCUUCCAAGUCCCAAUACUAUUCUCUCCGUUUUCAUUUUUUUUGAAAUUUAAAGUGGUUUGGUUUUCUAGUUUUUUUCUAAAUUUUGUGGGUUCAUUUUACAUCUUUCCGUAUGUUUAAUCAUACUAGAAGUAUCGUUUGCGCCAGCUUCGGUUUUGAGCAAAGUUCCACAUUUUUUGCAUCUGCUAUGUCUAACUUUGUCAAUGUGAACUACAUCAUAAUCGUUCCAGCAAGCCACCCUUUGGGCAUAUUUCCUUUUCUUCGACUUUGGUUCUUGACUUGUUCCUUCAACUUGUGUGUUAUCAACAAACACAUCUUCAUCAUCAAUCUAAAGCAUAAUAACAAAAUAGAUUCAUCAUCAAUCUAAAGCAUAAUAACAAAAUAGAUUCAUCAUCAAUCUAAAGCAUAAUAACAUUUAAAUAAAUUCAUCGAUCAGGAAUGACACAAGUAAAAGAAUAUAUAUUGUUAUUUUCAUUAAAUUCUCUUAUUCAAGGUUCUCAUUCAAGGUCAAAGACCCCAUUGCUUGGACUUAUAGAAAAAAAGUUAACUGUUAAGAUACCACAUUCAAAUUUCAAUUGAUAACAUACAUAAUAUCACAUUGAAAGAUUGAUUAGUAGAUUAACACAUCCAAUUUUCAAUGAGUAACGUACUUAAUAACAUUUUGAAAGAUUGAGUAGUAGAUUAAGAUACAAAUACCUACUUGUGUUUCUUGAUUUGGAACCCAAUUUUCCAUGAAUUGAAUGGAGUUUAGUCACAGUAUAAACUAGAAAACAAGAUGAGGAGACGAUUCACAAAAGUUUGAAGCAGGGAAGUCGAUCAAAAACUAAUGUCGAUCAAAGCCAAUUGUCGCAACUCGCAAGGAGCAAUUGUCGAUCAAAGCCACUGGCAGCAAGGACCAAUUGUCGAUCAAAAAAAGAUCGGAAGGAGCAAUUCUAAAUCAACUGUUGAUCAAACCAAAUUGGCGCAAAUCAUCAAUAUGGAAGUAGUCGACUCGAUUCGGUGUAAUAGGAUUAAGAUAUGCGAUUUGGUGCAAUUGGAUUUGAUUUUUUUGGUAGGAUUAGGAUAGUUGACUCACACCUAUAGAACCGAACAUGUAUAUGCAAGAGAUUGGGAUAGUCGACUCACGCAAGGGAAAAAAACGACUCUUCAUAUUCGGUUCGGUUUUUUGGACCGAAUAAGCCCAUAUUUGGGUAACCCGGACCGAAUAACCCGAAAACCGAAUAAGCCUUAUAUAGAUAGCCGAAAACCGAAUCGAAUAGCUUUAUCGGGUCUAAUUCGGUUUGGUUCGGGUUUUCAGCCUCAUUUCUCAUCCCUAGUCAUGCAUACCACCAGCUUUCAAAAGCAUUUCUUCCCCCAACCAAUCAUACCCUCACUUGCUCGUAAAUUCAAUUCAUUGGAAAGCUAACGAUCAUGAAAAUUUAACAACCCAUCAAAGAACUUAAACUCCACACCAAGCACGGUUGAUAUGACGAUCUCGGCACGAGCGGUAGACUGACAAGCCUCAUCCAACUCUUCUUGGAAGAGAAGACACGAAGCACAACCCUCUACACAUAAUAUAUAAAAGAAAAAAUAAAGUACAAAAAACUAAUAACCGUAGAAGUUGAAGGGUUUUGAUACAUAAAAUACAGAGUUUUUCAUAAAAACCGAAAACGACAGCUUUAAAAAUUUCUUAUAAAUUUUGAGUGUAUAACAAAACCAAACCAUUAAGGUGUUGGGUUUUGAGCAAUCUAACACUUCCUAAGUGUGCAUGCAACCCUAAUAAACCUUGGAUCUAUGUUUGUCUAAAUACAUGCAAAAUAAUAAUUUUCCAAGGUUCAUAACCUAUCUAACAUGGCAUGGGGUACUUUUAAACAUAAAAGAAUUAGAUGAGAUUACAUACCUUUUGAUGACGAGUUCAAUUCCUAAGGAGUUUGAGGGCCAGGCACCAAUAGUGUGAAUGCCUCAAACGGAAUCACAAAUCACCACAAACUCUUGGAAAACUUUGAGAGAGUGUAUAUACACAUAGAAAUCAGUCACACACAAACACAUAUUCUUUCUAGUUACACUAGUCACACUAGUGUGCAUUUCAUGCAACAUAAGCAUGCUUAUAUAGUGUACAUGAUUAGGGUGAAACCCUAAUAACCCAUGACCUUUCCUUUUCCAAGGAUCCAUGGGUUAAAAGCUCCAUGGAUCAUCCAUGGACUUCCAUACAAGCCUAGCCCAUUAACAAAUGAGUAUUAGCCCACACCAUAUAAAACCAAUAGCCCACAAUCUAAUUAGUCUUCCUUUUAAUCUCUAAAUUAAUUCAUAAUUAAUUUAAGACUAAGACUAAUUAAAUAACAUGACUUCAUAUUAAUAUAUUAUAACUUAUAAUAUAUUAAUAAACAUAUGUGUAUAACUCUCAUAAAAUUAUCCAUAAAUAGUUUGGAUGAAAUGCAACCCAAAUGGACCAUGCCGGGUCGGGUCAAGUAUAUACCAAAUAAGUUAUGGACUUAGACACCUUAUCCAACAGACUCCCACUUGGAUAAGUCUAAUAACUAUAUUUGCGUAUGUUACUUCAGGAACCAACCAGCAAUCGUAGCUCUCGAAAACUCUGUUGAACUAUGAAGCGCCAUUUUAGAUAAGUGAUCAUAUAAUCCUCUGUUCUCAUGAUAUCAGCCGGACAAAUACAUGGAACAACGUCGUACUUAUUGUCCAACAGUUUGUUUCCCGAUUUUCGAUUUGUUUGACAAAGAACUUAAUCGAACACAUCAAUUUAGUUCUGACCGGCCGGUACAUAGGUCACAACAAAAUCAUCGAGGGGCCCAGAUAUCGCUUCUAUUUCUAGAAGGAACAGAUAAACUUCGACUCAUAUGCUUGUUCUACUACUUGUUGAAUUGUACACAAAGGCACGUUUUAUAACAUCAAGUUACUGAUGCGUUUACGUGCAAUCAAUGCACAACCAACUCAUAGGUAACAACUCAUAUCUCUAGGUUUGAAGAUUUAUAUGAUAUUACCGUCUCACGAUCACUCGAGAUAAAUUCCAUGAAGUGAUACAAGUGAGCGUGGGUUUAUUCCAAUACUCAUAACUUAUGAGCACUCAUGAAUGUUGUAGCAACCAUUGCUAUGACUAAACCCAUUUAGCCAUCUACAAACUCGAUUCAUGACAGUCUUGAUUCAUACCUACUUCCAACAUAUGAACGACUGUGGAGUGUUUAAAUAACUUAGUCAUUCGGAAAGAAUAACCUAGCUAUUUUGGAAGUCAAAACAUGCAAAGUGAAACACAAUAAUAAUCGAAUCCAAUAUGGUCUCAGAACCCUUUUGAAUAUAAAUAGAACCACCUUUUAUUUAUCACCAUAUUGAUUACACAUUAUUCAUUGUAUAAUGUUUCAAACAAUCAACUUAAGACUUGAAUAAAAACAACAGUCGUCCCAUGCUCCUAGCAUGUACACUUUGUUUUUCUAAACAAUAGUUAUGCCAUACUCCAAGUAUGCACACUAUGUUUGUCUAUGAUCCUUACAUUGUGAUGUAGAUCAAUUGAACAUGAUUCCAAUGAUACUCAUUUCACAAUCCCAAAUCCUUAUUGUAAAUGUGAGAAUCCCCGAUUCCUAUCAUUUACCAAAAAAACUGUUAGAUUUUAAACUUUUAUGCAAUGUUCCUCUUGUAAUGAUUAUGCACAAAGUCACCAAAACCUUGUCACCAGUCAUUACAGAGUAUUCCAAAGAAGGUCAACUUCUAUGGAACGGAAGUCUCAUAUUCAAAGUACAUUGCUUUGAACAUCCUUCUUGCAUUAAGGUUUUCUAAUCUUACAUAGAUUGAAUAACUUCCACCUAUGGAGACAUUUCCAUAGUCCCAUUUUGACUAUCACUUCCGAACAAGAGUUACUUCUUUUCAGAAUAUGUCAAUAUGGUCCUUUCCGACAACUUACAUCAUACUUCCAACUUUCCCUGAGCAACCAAUCUUUGGCGAACCUCAGAUUGUCCUCGACAAUUGCUUAAUCACUUUAGUCAUAUCCAGUUCUAGACUUUUCCCUUCUCAAUGCCUUAAGCAUUUGGAAAAUUUAGAAAAGAUGAAUAUUAUAGCACAUGCAAUCGAUCCUAUAUCCGAAGCAUAUGGGACACGAUUCAUGAUGUUUGACAUAAAGACAUGAUACUAGACCAGUCUUUUGCUACAAUAUUUUUUAUUUGCCAUGUUUUCAAAAUUUAACUAUGAAGAGGGAUGCCGUAAUCAUAAUCGAAUUUUGAAAACGCAAUAUAUAUAGAAUUUCUUCAAGUUGAACCAUUCCAACAUAAAAUUCAUAUAUAUAUUCUUGACUAAAGAUGAUUAAAAUCUCAAUCUAAGCUUUAGAAUUGAAAUGAAGUAUAAUUUCCUCUCCCUUAAUUAUAGCAAAACAACUUUUCAACCCCUGCAACUUCACGAAUUGAAACUUUGUUUUCUAUAAUUAACAUUGCUAACUUGCAACACUAAACGUAAUAAUCAUGCUCCCACUAACAUGAUGAUUAUCAGCAUAACACUUAUGCUCCCACUAGCUCUGACAUAUUUCCAGAAAUCUGCUGGACUUCUGAAAUUUAGAUUCAUACACCCUUUCUUAGAUAGCUCACAUGUGUGUCUAAACAAUUUUCAGAACUAUGAAAAGGGAUGCCGUAAUCAUAGUCUCAAUUGCUUAGGCAUUUGCCAUUUCUCACAAGUCCAUGUUAGUGUGCCGGUUAACCACACGCGCUCCACUAACGACUUUUGAAAAUGCAAAUAACACAAUUGAUAUCUACGUAAAAUCUACUUAGUGAAAGCGUUUCCUCACCAUCAUUUUCAUGAAUCGGAGAGAAACCUUAUGACACUUAGAUUUUAUAGUGUAUGAGUUCCUAUCCAUGUGAAUUUGUCAAAAC